Long non-coding RNA from Prionailurus viverrinus (fishing cat), 388 nucleotides. RefSeq lists it as uncharacterized. The transcript is spliced from 2 exons. NCBI's taxonomy places the organism in Eukaryota, Metazoa, Chordata, Mammalia, Carnivora, Felidae. The record is from RefSeq and is a predicted model, not a curated record.
CUCGUCAGAUUUGUGAGUCUUUCUGCUGAGCUCAGUAGAUCCUGACUUCCACCUGUUGGGGGCAACCCGCCCCGCUGGGUCUGCUCACACACCAGAAGGCUGGCUGGCGGGCAGCGCGCACACGGGCGCCCGGUCUGAGACCCCGAGCGGCACCAUCCGGAGGGACGGCAGUGAGGAGGCAAGGUCACCUGGGAACGAGGGGGAGGCGGAGAGUCCCCAAAGCUUAAGGAGCGCGAUGGAGAGUCGAUACCGAGAAAGGAAAAGCGAGCUGACUGUAGAAACCUGAUAAAAUUCGUUCCGGAAGUCUUCACCAGUCCCCUUCUAGGUGCCAGUCGAUGUCCCAGGCACCCACCGGAACCAAGGCCAAUGGCAGCACUUCUCAGCCCAG